Molecule: ribosomal RNA, 558 nt
Filed under: uncultured bacterium
Lineage: Bacteria
Description: bacterial SSU rRNA
Rfam family: Bacterial small subunit ribosomal RNA
Source: RNAcentral
GGAAUAUUGGUCAAUGGACGCAAGUCUGAACCAGCUAUGCCGCGUGAAGGAUUAAGGUCCUCUGGAUUGUAAACUUCUUUUAUCUGGGACGAAAAAAGGUCUUUCUAGAUCACUUGACGGUACCAGAUGAAUAAGCACCGGCUAACUCCGUGCCAGCAGCCGCGGUAAUACGGAGGGUGCAAGCGUUAUCCGGAUUCACUGGGUUUAAAGGGUGCGUAGGCGGGCAGGUAAGUCAGUGGUGAAAUCCUGGAGCUCAACUCCAGAACUGCCAUUGAUACUAUCUGUCUUGAAUAUUGUGGAGGUAAGCGGAAUAUGUCAUGUAGCGGUGAAAUGCUUAGAUAUGACAUAGAACACCCAUUGCGAAGGCAGCUUACUACGCAUAUAUUGACGCUGAGGCACGAAAGCGUGGGGAUCAAACAGGAUUAGAUACCCUGGUAGUCCACGCCCUAAACGAUGGAUACUCGACAUACGCGAUACACUGUGUGUGUCUGAGCGAAAGCAUUAAGUAUCCCACCUGGGAAGUACGUUCGCAAGAAUGAAACUCAAAUGAAUUGACGG